RNAcentral lists this ribosomal RNA (700 nucleotides) under uncultured bacterium. RNAcentral's name for it is "bacterial SSU rRNA". It matches the Rfam family "Bacterial small subunit ribosomal RNA", at positions 60 to 754 of the family's 1533-position model. The record is from RNAcentral.
AGUCGAGGGGCAGCAUGACCUAGCAAUAGGUUGAUGGCGACCGGCGCACGGGUGAGUAACACGUAUCCAACCUACCGGUUAUUCCGGGAUAGCCUUUCGAAAGAAAGAUUAAUACCGGAUAGUAUAACGAGAAGGCAUCUUUUUGUUAUUAAAGAAUUUCGAUAACCGAUGGGGAUGCGUUCCAUUAGUUUGUUGGCGGGGUAACGGCCCACCAAGACAUCGAUGGAUAGGGGUUCUGAGAGGAAGGUCCCCCACAUUGGAACUGAGACACGGUCCAAACUCCUACGGGAGGCAGCAGUGAGGAAUAUUGGUCAAUGGACGAGAGUCUGAACCAGCCAAGUAGCGUGAAGGAUGACUGCCCUAUGGGUUGUAAACUUCUUUUAUACGGGAAUAAAGUGAGCCACGUGUGGCUUUUUGUAUGUACCGUAUGAAUAAGGAUCGGCUAACUCCGUGCCAGCAGCCGCGGUAAUACGGAGGAUUCGAGCGUUAUCCGGAUUUAUUGGGUUUAAAGGGAGCGUAGGCGGGUUGUUAAGUCAGUUGUGAAAGUUUGCGGCUCAACCGUAAAAUUGCAGUUGAUACUGGCGACCUUGAGUGCAACAGAGGUAGGCGGAAUUCGUGGUGUAGCGGUGAAAUGCUUAGAUAUCACGAAGAACUCCGAUUGCGAAGGCAGCUUACUGGAUUGUAACUGACGCUGAUGCUC